RNAcentral lists this microRNA precursor (49 nucleotides) under Ciona intestinalis (vase tunicate). RNAcentral describes it as "microRNA cin-mir-125 precursor". Its record names the gene cin-mir-125. The record is from miRBase by way of RNAcentral. Lineage: Eukaryota; Metazoa; Chordata; Ascidiacea; Phlebobranchia; Cionidae.
UCCCUGAGACCCUAAAACGUGAGACGGUUUCACGUAUUCGGCUCUCAGU